AAUUAAUGUUAGUCACUGUUGUCUUUUUUGUUUUUGUUUUUUUUUUUUUUUUUUGAGGCGGAGUCUCGCUCUUUCGCCCAGGCCGGACUGCAGUGGCGCUAUCUCGGCUCACUGCAAGCUCCGCCUCCCGGGUUGACGCCAUUCUCCUGCCUCAGCCUCCUGAGUAGUUGGGAUUACAGGCGCCCGCCACCGCGCCUGGCUAAUUUUUUGUAUGUUUAGUAGAGACGGGGUUUCACCGUGUUAGCCAAGAUGGUCUCGAUCUCCUGACCUCGUGAUCCGCCUGCCUCGGCCUCCGGCCUCCCAAAGUGCUGGGAUUACAGGCGUGAGCCACCGCGCCCGGCCCUCACUGUUGUCUUUUAAGUAGUGAAACAGGAAUGUCUCUCUGAUCAGAAAGCACAAUUAAGAUUCUGCAGAAAAGGAAAUCCAGCUCGGUGCCACCAAUCUGUACUAGGAAUGAAGAUUUGUUACCUGUCCUGCUGACGUCAGACCCAGCACCAGGUGCAGAAGCAACCAUCAUACAAAAAUCAAGCUUCCUUAAUUAUCCUCUGAAGAGUCCCUACCAGCAAGAAGGCUCUCACCAGACGUGGCCCUUUGACCUUGGAUUUCUCAGCCUUCAAAACUCUUGAGAUGCCCGAUCCCAGGCUCACCGAAGCGAGGUGAUACCAGACUCUCCCAGGCUCACCCAGGACAUGGUUUUCAUGUAGUGCAGUGUAGCAGGGACUCUGAUUAGGAACGUCAUGUCCCAAAGCAGAUCAGAGCCCAGAUGGGGCAGAGGGUCUCAGAUCUACAACACCUGAACACCUCCCCUGAGGAAGCCUCAAGUUCAGUGCUAGCUCUGCAGUCAACAUCAACCUAAAAUAUUACUACAGACAGAAAUCGUUCUGGAUCAAAAUUCUGAUCUUCUUUCCACUUUUUCAGACUCAUCAGAAGAGGUGUCUAAGAAGAUGCACAAAAAAAUUUGCAAGUGGACCAUUAUUGCCUGAGGGUCUAAAGUUUUACCAGAUUCUUUUUACAAUGAAGUAUAUAUAGUGUACAUGCUUGGGGAAAAUGCUGGGUCUUAAACCCAACCUCUAUUAACACGAUUAUUGCUCAUUAAUCAUGGCUGAAAAAUCUGGCAUCAAGAAUCACCGAGAUCCUAGCUACUCAAAGUGUAAUCCCUGGAUCAACAGCAUCAGCAGCAUCUGAGAGCUUGUUGGAGAUGCAGAAUCUCAGGCAGACCUACUGAACCAAAAAAAAAAAAAAAAUCUCAUUUUAACAAGACCCACAGGGGAUUGAAAUUUUCCUUCCACAUUUGAGAAGCACUGCUCUAGAUCCUCUCUCUUGAGGAGGUCAUUUACGUCAGGUUCUAUUCUUAAUAGGAAACAGGUUGAGAAAUAAAAACCUCAACAGGGCUACAAAUACGAACCCAGAAAAUGUGAAGUUUUUAGUGAAUGUUGAAAACAAGGCAGCAAAAUGGCUGUUUAUUAAACCUAAUAUAUUCUGUACUGAGAUCAAAAGGCAGGUGUUACAAGGACCAUAGCUCUAAUUAUGAAGUUGGCUAUUUCAACACGACCAGCCACUGAACACUACACGCUUCCCCUUCGUGCUUUUAGUCUUUCCCAUAAAUGCCACAUGGUUCUUUUGGCAGAAUUAGCUCCCAGAUUUGCAGUGGGAAUUAGACAAGAACAUUUUCUCCUUCCUUUCCUUUGAGAUGCAGGGAUGGGGGCUAGAGCAGGCAGCAGGGAGCACUUCUGAGGCCAGGAGUAAGCAAAACUAAAACCAGAGAAGGGGUGCCAAGAUAUGAAUGCCAGAGGGAACAUAAGGGCACAAAACUGCAAGAGGGGGAAGGAGGGUGACACAUUGCCAGGUGCCUGGGACCAGAGACGCACCAAGUGGUAGGGUCUUUUUAAAAUUUUAUUUCUUAGAAUGUAUUUUUAAUUAACAAAUAAAACUUAUAUUUAUGGUAUCUAACAUGAUGUUUUGGAAUAGGUAGACACUGUGCAAUGGCUAAAUCCAGCUAAUUAACAUAUGCAUUGCCUCACAUUUUUAUUUUUUUGUGCUGAGAACACUUAAAAUCUACUCUUAGCGAUUUUCAAGAACAUAAUACAUUGUUAUUAAUUAUAGUCACUGUGUUGUACAAUAGAUCUCUUGAAUUUAUUCACCCUGUCUAAGUGAAAUUUUGUAUCCUUUGACCACCCCUCUCCCAGUGCCCAGGCAACCAGCAUUCCGCUGUCUGCUUCCAUGUGUUACACUUUUUUAGCUUCCAUGUAUAUGAGUGAGAUCAUGUGGGAUUUGCCUUUCUGUUUUUGGCUUAUUUCACUUAGCAAAUGUCCUCCAGGUUCACGCAUGUUGUCACAAAUGACAGAACUUCUUCUCUUUUUAAGGCUGAGUAGUAUUCCAUUGUGUAUAUAUACCACAUUUUCUUUAUCAGCUCAUCUGUUGAUAGACAUUUAGGUUGAUUCCAUAUCUUGACUGUUGUGAAUAGUGCUGCAACAAACAUGAGAGGGGGUGCAGAUAUCUCUUUGACAUACCGAUUUCAUUUCCUUUGUAUCUAUACUGAGCAGUGGG
This 2547-nucleotide long non-coding RNA is filed under the name Homo sapiens (human). Its description in RNAcentral is "HSALNT0280771". Lineage: Eukaryota; Metazoa; Chordata; Mammalia; Primates; Hominidae. The record is from RNAcentral.